This 498-nucleotide ribosomal RNA is filed under the name Triticum aestivum (bread wheat). RNAcentral's name for it is "partial small subunit ribosomal RNA". The record is from RNAcentral. Lineage: Eukaryota; Viridiplantae; Streptophyta; Magnoliopsida; Poales; Poaceae.
AUGUUGUCGAGGACGACCGGAGAUGUUGUUAAAUCAAUGGCGACGAUGGUAUUCAACACAGACCUGUGCCCCAUGCUGCCACUUGUGACAUCUGCAUGCACCAUCAUUAGCACAAGUGCCAAUACUGUUGCAUCAACAUUUGCUCAAAACUAUAUGAUGCAGCAGAUGAAGAAUGCUAGAAUCACACUAGUAGAGGUCAAGACCAAGGGCCACCUACCACAUCUUACCGCCGGAAAGAUGGUUGCGAAGCACAUCUCAGAUGUCAUUCAUGAGUGGAUAGCAAGAACUGAGCCAUUAACUUCCAUACCUCCUAGCCUAUUGCCUUCGUAUGAUAGGCUGCGUGAAGAGAUUAGGGUACUUAAAGAAGAAAACAUGUUGCUGAAGAGAGAGAACGAAGCUCUGAAGAAGCCAGCGAUUGAUGAGACCACCAAACUGGCAACGGUGUCCCGGCCAGGUGGUGGAAGCCAUGAAUCAUCACCAGGCAGCGGAGGUUCUUGA